GAUGAACGCUGGCGGCGUGCCUAAUACAUGCAAGUCGAGCGAACGGACGAGAAGCUUGCUUCUCUGAUGUUAGCGGCGGACGGGUGAGUAACACGUGGAUAACCUACCUAUAAGACUGGGAUAACUUCGGGAAACCGGAGCUAAUACCGGAUAAUAUUUUGAACCGCAUGGUUCAAAAGUGAAAGACGGUCUUGCUGUCACUUAUAGAUGGAUCCGCGCUGCAUUAGCUAGUUGGUAAGGUAACGGCUUACCAAGGCAACGAUGCAUAGCCGACCUGAGAGGGUGAUCGGCCACACUGGAACUGAGACACGGUCCAGACUCCUACGGGAGGCAGCAGUAGGGAAUCUUCCGCAAUGGGCGAAAGCCUGACGGAGCAACGCCGCGUGAGUGAUGAAGGUCUUCGGAUCGUAAAACUCUGUUAUUAGGGAAGAACAAAUGUGUAAGUAACUAUGCACGUCUUGACGGUACCUAAUCAGAAAGCCACGGCCAACUACGUG
This 497-nucleotide ribosomal RNA is filed under the name uncultured bacterium. RNAcentral's name for it is "partial 16S ribosomal RNA". It matches the Rfam family "Bacterial small subunit ribosomal RNA", at positions 28 to 507 of the family's 1533-position model. The record is from RNAcentral.